Molecule: long non-coding RNA, 1271 nt
Organism: Acanthaster planci (crown-of-thorns starfish)
Lineage: Eukaryota; Metazoa; Echinodermata; Asteroidea; Valvatida; Acanthasteridae
Source: RefSeq, a predicted model, not a curated record
GCUUUCAAGAUGGGUUGACAGUCCAAAAAACUCGGAAAGAAGUCCUCGAGAAGACUUCUGGCAAAGACCACGUAUUUCCACACAACAGACACUUCUGACAGCAGAGGUUACAUCACUGAAAAUGUCACUGCGAUAAUAUCUUCUUGUUGUAUCGGCAGCACAACCAGCUUACUUAUGUUGUUGCGAGAAGGUUGAUGCAGGAAUUAUGGCUAACAACAAGUGUUUGAGGUCAUUCAAUUUUACAUGAACCGGUAAAUCCAGCACGUACCCCAUUCAGUUGUGUGUACUAUAUUCCUAACAAGCAAGUCUGAUGGAAGUUGCAUUUAUAUACGUAUACCUCACCGAGCCUAUGGCAUUCUUGCUUGCACUGAGCAUAAAAGAAAAUUAUUCAAAGAAGCCUUCAGCUUCAAGCCCAACUGCAGGUACCGGUACCUAACUAUGAACACAAUCAGAUUUCUUUCCAAAUCAGUGCCCAGACUGCCAAGAUCUUUGCAGACAACAUGUUAUCAAGAGAAUGCAGAUGGAAAAACCUUUGUUGAUAUCCAGAAGGGUGCAUUUUCUGUCUAAUCAUUCAUGUACAAAUGGAACACGUACUAAGUACAGGUACUGUACAAUUUAUGUGCAUGUUUCCUCAGAAAUGGAUGAACUGGUAAAUUCCAUUUGAUUUUUUUCCCAACCAAAGAUACAAGAUGCAGAAUUUUGACUGUCAACUGAUGAUUUCUCAAAAUGUCCACACAUGAAGACUGGAGUAUCCACUCAAGAUGGCACUGCUGACAAUCCAUCCACAACAUUAAUUAAGCCAGUCUUGCUGUAAGGCCCACUGACGCCACUCCCAACUGAACGCCAGUGAAUCAACAUGUGAGUGAUCCCUAUUGUUGCAGGCGGGAAUCACUUUAUGUAGGGUACUCCUGGUGAAGACAGAAGCCACUCUGAUGAAAAUCAAGCCUGGGAUACCAGCCCACGCCAAUCAUAAUCACACCAGGCUGACUGGCAUGACCUUUUUGUCAUGGCCUAAUCAUCAGGUACUGACUUUGAUCGCUGUUAACUUCAAAUACAUGUACAUACAUUGUAGACUAUUCCAACCAGCCAGGAUCAGGCCUGUCAUUAAGCAGCUUAUACUCCCGGAGAAUAACUGUUCCCUGACAAUUAAAAUCAACACACCAGGAGGCCCAACAGUGGACACACAUCCCAGGGAAGAAUACAGUACAUGUAUGGUUCCAGUUUGUUUCAACUGUUCUGAAAUUAAAUACAUGUAACUCAGCCAGUUCUGU